This 231-nucleotide ribosomal RNA is filed under the name uncultured bacterium. Its description in RNAcentral is "partial 16S ribosomal RNA". It matches the Rfam family "Bacterial small subunit ribosomal RNA", at positions 99 to 334 of the family's 1533-position model. The record is from RNAcentral.
CGGACGGGUGAGUAAUGCUUGGGAAUCUAGCUUAUGAGGGGGAUAACUACGGGAAACUGUAGCUAAUACCGCGUAAUAUCGAAAGAUUAAAGUGUGGGACCUUCGGGCCACAUGCCAUAGGAUGAGCCCAAGUGGGAUUAGGUAGUUGGUGAAGUAAAGGCUCACCAAGCCGACGAUCUCUAGCUGGUCUGAGAGGAUGACCAGCCACACUGGGACUGAGACACGGCCCAG